Molecule: ribosomal RNA, 497 nt
Filed under: uncultured bacterium
Lineage: Bacteria
Description: partial 16S ribosomal RNA
Rfam family: Bacterial small subunit ribosomal RNA
Source: RNAcentral
GAUGAACGCUGGCGGCGUGCCUAAUACAUGCAAGUCGAACGCAUAGCGAAAGGUGCUUGCACCUUUCAAGUGAGUGGCGAACGGGUGAGUAACACGUGGACAACCUGCCUCAAGGCUGGGGAUAACAUUUGGAAACAGAUGCUAAUACCGAAUAAAACUUAGUGUCGCGUGACACAAAGUUAAAAGGCGCUUCGGCGUCACCUAGAGAUGGAUCCGCGGUGCAUUAGUUAGUUGGUGGGGUAAAGGCCUACCAAGACAAUGAUGCAUAGCCGAGUUGAGAGACUGAUCGGCCACAUUGGGACUGAGACACGGCCCAAACUCCUACGGGAGGCUGCAGUAGGGAAUCUUCCACAAUGGGCGAAAGCCUGAUGGAGCAACGCCGCGUGUGUGAUGAAGGCUUUCGGGUCGUAAAGCACUGUUGUAUGGGAAGAACAGCUAGAAUAGGAAAUGAUUUUAGUUUGACGGUACCAUACCAGAAAGGGACGGCUAAAUACGUG